This 553-nucleotide ribosomal RNA is filed under the name uncultured bacterium. RNAcentral describes it as "partial 16S ribosomal RNA". It matches the Rfam family "Bacterial small subunit ribosomal RNA", at positions 355 to 900 of the family's 1533-position model. The record is from RNAcentral.
UAGGGAAUCUUCGGCAAUGGACGAAAGUCUGACCGAGCAACGCCGCGUGAGUGAAGAAGGUUUUCGGAUCGUAAAACUCUGUUGGUAGAGAAGAACGUUGGUGAGAGUGGAAAGCUCAUCAAGUGACGGUAACUACCCAGAAAGGGACGGCUAACUACGUGCCAGCAGCCGCGGUAAUACGUAGGUCCCGAGCGUUGUCCGGAUUUAUUGGGCGUAAAGCGAGCGCAGGUGGUUUAUUAAGUCUGGUGUAAAAGGCAGUGGCUCAACCAUUGUAUGCAUUGGAAACUAGUAGACUUGAGUGCAGGAGAGAAGAGUGGAAUUCCAUGUGUAGCGGUGAAAUGCGUAGAUAUAUGGAGGAACACCGGUGGCGAAAGCGGCUCUCUGGCCUGUAACUGACACUGAGGCUCGAAAGCGUGGGGAGCAAACAGGAUUAGAUACCCUGGUAGUCCACGCCGUAAACGAUGAGUGCUAGAUGUAGGGAGCUAUAAGUUCUCUGUAUCGCAGCUAACGCAAUAAGCACUCCGCCUGGGGAGUACGACCGCAAGGUUGAAAC